This is a non-coding RNA of Paramuricea clavata, 1049 nucleotides long. Lineage: Eukaryota; Metazoa; Cnidaria; Anthozoa; Malacalcyonacea; Plexauridae. The record is from the annotation of a GenBank genome assembly.
UUUUUAUUCACAACGACAGAUGUUUUUCUGAUUUACAUUAUGUAGCAUUUAGAGAAACAAUCAUAAAAUAAAUAUCAAUUUUAAGAUAUGAAUGGCUAAUAUGUGUAGGUACUUUCUCGCCCUCCGUGCAACAAAAUCAAAUGAAACAACACACGUGCUCUGCACUGCGCCAAUUUUAAUAUGGCGGUGUCAGAGGAGUCGCAGUACGAUGUCGUGUAUAGAACGGGUCUAUCAUUACUAUCAAAGUCAAAGAUGCAGUCACUUUUAACCUUGUUUUUGUGCUUAUAUUAUCUAACAAAGAAACAGAGUGAUACAGAAUAUAAAAAAGUGCCUGUGGAGUGUGGUCAUGAUAGUUUUAAUAUAAAUUAGCUUACACAUUUUAUUAAAAAUAACUCAAUACCGUAUACUACCUAUAAGGGUUGUAUAAGUAUAAACAACUCGCAUCUUAUAUUGCCAUUUUGUUGUAACUGUAAAAUUUUACUCUGGAGCACAGGCAUGCAAAAAGAGACUAUGGUUCUUAAUUCUUUAAUGUUUAUAUUAAAUAACGAUGGUAGUUAAUGUCAUGAUCACAGACACAGGCUCUGACAACAGGCGAAUCUUACUGCAUUUAUAUCAAAACCUGAUUAAAUUAUUAUAUAAGACGUACUUAGUUAUUGUUAUUUUGUCUUGAAUAUUAAGCCCUUCAACCCAAGCAUGUGCGUAAGCAUCUGAUCAAAUGCUAUACACUGUCAAAAUGUCAAUGUAGUAAACAAAGUAGUUAAAUGUAGUUCUAUAAUUAGCGCUGCAAAGCUUAUACAUUUCAAUCACGCAACACAAAUAUUUUAGCGAUUGUGAUUUGUUCUAGAGAACUGAACACUGUAUGUGCUGCCUCUGAUGUGCUGUUUUAGCAUGAACAUAUUUGAUUUUUAAAUUGGGCGAUUGAUUUUAAAUUAAGGAAAUUGAAGGCUCAUGCAUUAUAUUUUCUAAUGAUCGAUAUAGUCAUGUUUAUUCAAUAUAGUCUGCAUAUUAUAUAUGCCAAGUCUGCAAUUUCAGUAAGCAGCUUUAUAUAC